Molecule: transfer RNA, 65 nt
Filed under: Pseudoeurycea orchileucos (Sierra de Juarez worm salamander)
Lineage: Eukaryota; Metazoa; Chordata; Amphibia; Caudata; Plethodontidae
Description: tRNA-Ile
Source: RNAcentral
GACAUGUGCCCGAAAAAUAAGGAUUACCUUGAUAGGGUAACUAAUAGAGGUUCAAACCCUCUCAU